RNAcentral lists this ribosomal RNA (434 nucleotides) under uncultured bacterium. RNAcentral describes it as "bacterial SSU rRNA". It matches the Rfam family "Bacterial small subunit ribosomal RNA", at positions 94 to 526 of the family's 1533-position model. The record is from RNAcentral.
AGUGGCGAACGGGUGAGUAACGCGUAUGCAACCUACCUCUGACUGGGGCAUAGCCCCGAGAAAUCGGGAUUAAUACCUCAUAAUAUAUUUGUAAUGCAUAUUACGAGUAUUAAAGCAUUAGCGAUUAGAAAUGGGCAUGCGUGACAUUAGCUUGUUGGUAAGGUAACGGCUUACCAAGGCGACGAUGUCUAGGGGGUCUGAGAGGAUGGCCCCCCACACUGGUACUGAGACACGGACCAGACUCCUACGGGAGGCAGCAGUGAGGAAUAUUGGUCAAUGGGCGCAAGCCUGAACCAGCUAUCCCGCGUGCAGGAAGACAGCCUUAUGGGUUGUAAACUGCUUUUCUACAGGAAGAAACUCCCGAACGUGUUCGGGACUGACGGUACUGUAGGAAUAAGCAUCGGCUAACUCCGUGCCAGCAGCCGCGGUAAUAC